AUCGCUUCUCGGCCUUUUGGCUAAGAUCAAGUGUAGUAAAAUUUUACAGAUUGUACACAGAACUUUCAUGACUCUUU
RNAcentral lists this small nuclear RNA (77 nucleotides) under Fukomys damarensis (Damara mole-rat). RNAcentral's name for it is "U2 spliceosomal RNA". Lineage: Eukaryota; Metazoa; Chordata; Mammalia; Rodentia; Bathyergidae. The record is from Rfam by way of RNAcentral.